RNA transcript from Bactrocera dorsalis (oriental fruit fly), 12110 nucleotides. RefSeq lists it as uncharacterized. The transcript is spliced from 14 exons. Lineage: Eukaryota; Metazoa; Arthropoda; Insecta; Diptera; Tephritidae. The record is from RefSeq and is a predicted model, not a curated record.
CAAUUCUUUCAUUAUAUUUUAGGGUUCAUAGGGUUAAUUUUAUAUCAUUUGCGGUGUUAAUUGAGCUAAAGAACAAAAUUUCAACAAAACUGGAUUACUUAAAAACAAUAUUUAAUACCUAUAUUAAUGCCAGCGUGCUUUUUAGUUGAUAUAGUGACUAAACAUCCUCAAAAUAAUACAUACAUAUGCUUUAAGUACUUUGCUUCAAAUCAAUUCUAUAAUCUUAUGCUUUACGGCAGCUACAUCUAGCUAACGAAGUGAUUAUUAUAAAUUGAGUGAAAUCUUAUUUAAACAAAAUUAUUUAUUUACACGAAUUUGUUUAAAGCACAUUUUGUUAAAAAUUCUAUGAAGAAAUUCAUGUGUACAAUAAAUAGAGUAUUGAGCAAAUAUGAAAAGUUGAUAUUCGCAGAUUGUGGCAGUAAUGUAUUUUAACUUAAAACUCGCAUUUACGUACAUAUAUAUCGGGUUAAAAUAUUAGUUUUACCUUUGAAUACGAUAAAUUUAAAAUCAAAAAUGUGUGGCAGCGAAUGUAUAAGUAUAAAUGCCGUGUUUAACAGAUUUUGUUCCUUUGACGACAACUGAAACAACUUAUAUAUAAGUAUCCAUGUACAUUGUGAUAGGAUGUGUAUGAAUUAAAAAUAUAUAUAAGUAAUAUUAAAUAUGUAUGCAUGUGGCGGCUCAAUAGUACUGAUACGAUGAUUAUAUCUGAAACAGUUAUGGUAAAGCCCAAAUAACUCACAUAUUUGAUCUCUGGUUAAUAACCGAGUGGUUGAAAGAAAUACGUAAUAUAAUGUGCAAAUUACAAAAAUAAUAAUACCUACAAAUUUUUUUAAAAAGGGAGGCCGCAACAUUUAAUAUUGUUACUCAACUAAACAAGCUUUGAAUUUGGUAGAAUCCUGCAUUUAUUGACGGUGGUUUCAGCUGUACAGCAUUUAACAUGGAUACCAAGAAGGAUAUAACGACAUCGCAAGCAAGUGGCACUACAUUGCGACGUCCGAUUCAAAUUGUGAAAAAACGCUCUGGUCCGUUAGAUGAUGCACUAAAAGAGCUAUAUCAGGAGCUAAGUGAUGCACCCGCUACGAUUGACACGACAGCGUCGACGGCAACACAAGCGGCUUUUACAGUUUGGCAACCAGCUUCAAGAGAUACCAGUUUGAAAUUUCCCUCAUUCACAGUGACCGCAGCAUCACCACAAUCAGCACGUCGUCGUCCAACAAUCAAAGAGAAAGAGAAAAAACGGGAACGUUGGUUACUUACACGUAAAACUUGGAAAUAUAUGACUGAUGCUGGACGUAAGCUUAUACCGGAAGGAGCACAAAACUGUAAAGAAGAUAUAGCUAAAAUUGAAGCAAAUUUUCAACAGAUUUGUUCCAACGAACCCCGUUUUAUAUUGUGGCGUCGGAAGUCUUCUUAUCCAGGAGCCGUGCGAAAUUCGAAACAACGUUUGAAACAUUUAUUGCAACAUACGGGGCAAAAGGGACCAAAUAUGAUAGAAGCAAUAGAACAGGAAGAAGCACACAAUGCUGAUCAAGUAAUCGAUCUUUUGCAGUCUUUUUUAAAGCUUGACGAAAUGUGUAAAACUACGACAUUACUCAGCUCAAAAACUGUGCGGCCAGAUCAGACAGCUUCGCCAAGUGCGCGUCGUCCUGAUAGCGUCCGGAAGUCAGCGACUAACAACGGCAAUAUAACUUCACGUGGUGCUAAUUUUUUUGCACUACAACUUCCUAACGAUUUACAACAACUAAAUGAAAUCGAUCAACUGCUUGAACGAUUACGAAGAAUUUCUCGUAGUGCGAGAGUAAAUGAAUUCACAAUACCACCAAAUGAUAUUACUCCAGCUAUUCUUGAGGAUAAGGUUUUACUUAAACAAAUAUAUAAUUCUCUUAAAAAACAACAGUUACAUCGUGUUUUGAGUGCACAUUCCACACCGUCAUUAAAGGGUACACGACCGAAAAUAAGGCAUUCAUCAUCAUUGUCUAGUUUACAGAAUUUUGGUGAUAACGUUAAUAGAGUUGUUAAGUUUGGAGGUAGUACUAAAGAUCAUGAUUUGAAUUUAGAACCUUCCAAUCAAGAAACUAUCAUUCAAUUGAGAAAAUCCACUACAAAACUAACGGUACCAUCAGCGAAAAUAACUGGAGCAGUAUCAAAAAAUCAACUUUUUUCAAUCCCAAAGAACACUAAUAUCAAACCUAUGCCUCCUACACCAGCGCCUGGCACACGUGAGCCACCAAAUACACUCAAUCUACCAGCUUUAAACAAAAACAGCACAAACAACAUACCUUUAAGACAAGUGAAACAGCCUCAGGCUGUGAAGUAUUUUAAUUCUUGUGGAACUCAAACUAACUUUGUCCCUUUGCAAGAAAUUAAACGUUUAGCAGAGGAAUAUAAGAAUCUGAAACAGGAAGAGGCUUCAUUGAAGGCCUUAUUAAGUUGCACGCCUAGCGCCACUGAUGAUGAGACGGAGAAAGGCGCCAGUUCUACAACAACGACAAGCCCUCACCACCAUCAUCGUCGUAAGAGUUCAAUAGAUAAUGAAGAUAUUUCACAAUCCGUGAGUGAUACGAUUAAACGAUAUUUGCGUAUGGCCCGAAAGAAGAGCGUCAAUGAUGAUAACUCUAAUCGAUUUAAGCGUGUUAAUUACGAUCGUAAUUUACGCAAUAUAAAAGCGAAGGGCGAAAUUAAUCCACCUGGUAUGGAUGAAGACAAUUCGAAAGCUGUGCAAACAUUGGACGCAUGGCCCGUGAUUUGUUUAGACUUUAUACGUGGCAAAGAAACAUAUAGUAUCUUAGAGGCAGCUCAUGCCGAAUGGCAGCGGGAACUAGAUGAACGUAUUCAAAAAAAGCUGGAAUACGACCAAAGGAUCUGUGAUUUAAACAAUGCCACAUUAAUACCGGCUUUAUCGAGUUGUGGUUCCUCAUCUGCACCGACAUCGCCAACAUCUCCUGUAACUUUCAGUGGAACUAGACACAAUUUAGAGACUCGUCAAGCGAACCAUGGAAUUGGAAGCAGCAUAGGAAGCCUUCGUAACGUUGGAUCACAGUUUUUAUCAAAUCUAUGGCACGGGACUACUAGUAGUGUGGCAGCAACUCCUGAUGAUGAAGAUACUGGCAACAGUAGUGCUGCAAGAAAUGUUCCAAAUCAUUCUAGCAGCUUUUUAAAAUUUCAUCGAAGUUCAAAACACGACCACAGUCCAAUAACGAAUGACUCUGCUGCGAAGGGUGCAAGUUUGAGCACAACAAUGCAAAAGUCAAAAUCAUCUUCCAAUGUCGGACAAUUCGUCACACGUAAAAUACUUAAAAGCCGUUCGAAAAGUCAGUCACGACCGAACACUCAAGCAUCAGUUUCGAAAUGGGCGCCAGCGGAAAAGUGCAGUUGGACUUCAGAGAACGGUGAUUUUAUUGUAAUACAAGAUUCAUGCUUGCAAAAUCUGACGGACAUUGAGGCGAAAAUUUUACAACGUGUUGCGAUUGAAAAGAUAAGCGAACUUAAUAUUGGAGUUAAUGUCUUAUUAAAUAGUAAACCACAGAAGCGAAGGGUUCUGGCCAAGAAGAAAGCGAUGACUACCAGUUUCUUUGAUGUUAGUAAAAAGGAGGACCAAAAGCAAAGUGGAGCCGGUUUAUUUGGUAACUCCUUGGAAUGGUGUGUAAUCAAUGAUAAGAAACGGGGAAACAACUUGAAGGCAUCAACUGAUCGUGGUUCGCGCAACUCAUUAGCAGCACUAUUUCGUGGUGGUAGUACGAAUGAGGUAACAAAUAAGUUGGAUGAAAAUGUGCGCUCUUAUGAAAGCUUGCCCUCGAGCACAUUUUCUUUGGUAACUUCGCUUAGUAGUGAUAACAAUUGUCAUAGUGGACGAGCGAGCAGUACCAAAUCGAGCAGCGGUUAUUUUGACAACCUGUCAUCAAUGCAGAAGAAGAUUUCACGCAGCCAAUCUGAUAUAAGGCGUCAUAGUCAAGAGUUAGACCUGCAGGAUCCAUCUUAUUUUAAGGAGCAGAGCAAAAUAGCCAAUCAAAAUGCUUUGCAAGUGCCUACUUUCAUAACAUCUUGCAUAAAAUAUCUUGAAGAGCACGGAUUACACAAGGUUGGACUGUUUCGUGUGAGCACAUCCAAGAAGCGAGUAAAACAGAUGCGUGAGGACUUUGACAAGAAUACUGUCACUGACAUUCGUGAGGAAACUUGUCCUCACGAUGUUGCAACGUUGAUAAAGGAAUUCUUGCGGGAUCUCCCAGAGCCGUUGUUGUGCAGCGGUCUGUAUAAAGCAUUUUUAGAAACUCAAAGAAUUCGUAACCGUCGCUUACAGUUAGAAGCAAUAUCCCAUUUAGUCAAACUGCUUCCAGCGGCUCAUCGUGAUACCCUCUAUGUCUUAACUAAGUUUUUAGCAAGGGUUGCGUCAUGCUCCGACGACGUUAUUGGUCACGAUGGUAAUGUACAAGUCUGUGGUAACAAAAUGGAUAGCAACAAUCUAGCAACUGUUUUUGCACCUAAUAUUCUUCGUAUAAAUUUAUCAAACACCUCUUCGUCAGAUGUAGUAACGUGUGGAAACAGCAUUGAACAGGAGUCUAUGAAUGAUGCUAUAAAUGUAGUAAGAAUUAUGAUUGAUCAUUAUGAAGAAAUCUUCAAGGUGCCGGCCGAACUAAUUGACAUUGUAUACUCCCAUAUGCUGGACGCGUGUCCGGAGAAGCUUUAUAGUAUAUGCGAGCAACGCAUACAGAGUAUAAGUGGUAAUUCUUGGUCUUCGUUAAAUAAUAGUGCGCAAAGCUUAUCACCAAUGACCACAACUUCUACUUCCAAUGUAUCUUCCUCUAUUGUCGGCAGUGUGGUAGGUGUUGAUCCAAGUACGUUGCCAUCCUUGAAUACAAUUACGAAACGUCUGUACACACGUGAGUCUGUCAUGCAUGACAAUGAUGCAUGUCGUUUGACAGAAGCAGCAAUAAAUGGGUCGAAUAAUGGAAAACGAAGCUCGAAUAUGCAUUCAAGUCGUCACUCUAUGACACAAAAGUUACGGCAUAAUGGUCGUAAGGGUAAUAUUACAAAAUCUGACAUGGUGGAGCGACGACAAUCUUCACCAAAUAUAUUAGAUAAUGCAGCUAUUUUAUCAGCAAGCUUACAAAUUCAAGUACCUGGUGCCCAGGCAGGUCUUUUAAAAUUAACAAGCACCACACCGCAAAAAAAAACAAAAUCAAUACCGAACGAAAAAAUAGCGUAUGAUAUGGAUGACAUUAAUACGGGUGUAUCGAAAUCUUUGUCUUCGCAUUCUAUGGACCAUUUCGAUUAUUCAGAUAUUUCGCAUUUUGAAAAAGCAACAAAAAACGAAGAAAUGAAAAACGCACAUCAAUAUUGACUUUUACAUUUCGACAAGAAGCUUAUCUGCUCAAAUGGGUGUAAGCAGACAGUCAUUACAGUCAAUUAUGCACAAAGAUUUGGACUUAUUCCCACAUAAAAUUCAAAUGGCCAACAAACUGAAUGCUGCAGACUUGCCGAUUCGCUUGGAAUUUUGCCAGAAGAUGCUUCAAAUGGUGGAAGAGGAUGGAAACAUGUUGAACUGUCUUUUCAUGUCUGACGAGGCCCAUUUCGAUUUAAACGGCAACAUAAACAAACAAAAUUGUCGAAUAUGGAGUGCUUCCAACCCACAGAUACUCCAUUGCAUCCACUUCGUGUCACAGUGUGGUGUGCAGUUUCAUUACGCUGCAUUGUCGGGCCCUACUUCUUCGAAGAAAACGGGCACACCGUUACGGUUACUGGAGACCGUUACUUGAGCAUGUUGAGAGAGUUUUUCUAUCCAGAAUUACGCCGAAUGAGAAUUUCUUUCAACUCUGUGUAGUUUCAGCAAGAUGAUGCAGCUCCUCACAUAGCCCAACCUGUUAUGACAGAAUUGCGACGAAAAUUUCCCAAUAAGCUGAUAUCCAGAAACUCCACAUUCCGCUGGCCACCCAGGUCGCCUGACCUUACUGCACCUGACUUUUUCUUGAGGGGUUAUUGCAAACAGGAAGUCUACAAAGCAAAACCAACAAAUUUGAAUGAACUAAGGCAAUCCAUUCGAGAAAUAAUUGCGGCUAUUCCUGUCUCAACUCUCCAAGCAGUAAUUAACAACUUUUUGGUAAGAUGCCGCACAUGCAUCAACGAGCAGGGGGGCAUUUAAAUUCCAUUAUUUUUAAAACUAAUUAAGCUAUAUUUAAUAAAAUUGAAUGAGCUUUAACAUGAAUAAAAUAAAAUGAAUUCCAUACACUGAAAAAAAAUUAUUUGAGUUUCUUAAUGUAGCAAAAUUCACCAGCCACCCUGCAUGUAUCUGCCACAUACUUCUGAGAAACAAAAACUUGUUAAUUUUGAUAAUUGAAGGGACAGCUUUUAAUAUACUUACUUUGGAUAAUAAUUGGUUAUUUCCUUUUUUAAGCUUUAAAAAAAUCUAACAUUUGAACUUUUUAGACGAAGAUAGCUAUUGGAAAACUAUGCAUGAAUUAGAUGAAAAUCUUACAGUUAUCUUAUCGAACCAUCCCGGAAAUUAUCAAAAUGUGCCUAAGUGUUUGAAAUGAAGAUCUAAUGCUCUUGAAUAUUUAGACGAAGAACGUUUCCAACAAAUGCUCCGAGUCACAAGUGAUCAUUAUUGAUCAAAGACAGUACACAGUUAAACAACGAUCAAUCUAUUAGGCAAUUUUCGGUAGAUCUACACCUAACUAUAACCGUAUAUCCUUUGGGUUAAUCGAGUACGGCGAUUUGAAAAGUAGCUACACUGUUUGGAGUAGGAGAUGGUGAAACACUUUACAAUAUUACAAAUCGAGUAUUUUCGUAUUUUUUGGAAUUAAAAUCUAGAUAUAUCACUUGGCCAAAUACGAAUGAAAAACAAGAUAUCGUUAACCGUGCGAUUCUGAUACAGUUUUAAGUCUCUAAAUUUAAGAUUUUAAGUUAGAAAAAAUUUUUGUGACUUGAGACGAAUUCGUUAUUCUGUAAGUGACAGUCAUUAAAAAUUUGCGAGUCUCUCAACUGAAAGCGAACAGGUCUGACCAUCUGUCACAUUUCCUUAUUUAGAGAUGUAUGUAAAACCUGAAUCAAAAAAUACUGUCGAUAACAAAUAUUAAAUUAUCUUUAACGCUGUAAAAAAGCUUAUUUACCAAUAAAACUAAAAAUAAAAUGUUGUAUUUCAAAUACGAUAGAGCUAAAAUUUAUGUGAAAUUGAUUUUUUUUUUUUACUUUUACUUGAUUGAGUUUUGUAUAAAACAUAAACACCAACAAUCGAUUACUAUCUGUGAUGAUCUCUUUAAGUGAAUCGUCAAUACAUUCAAAAUGGAAAACAAAGGUAACUAAGCGUUUAAUUAAAUAUUUGCUGUUAUAUUCCUUUACUUGUAUAUAAUUAAUUGUUACAUUUGCAGAAUCAUUGCGGACAACAAAAGAGCAAAUUGAAUGCUCUUUAGCAUUUCUAAGAUCACAAAAAUUAUCCCACGCGACCAAAAAGGUUGGAAGAGCUGUGGAUCGAGCUUUGUCAGCAGCUAAAUGCUUUGAAAGGUCCAUCAUUUCGCCUACGAAAUGGAAGGAGGCAAAUCCUUACAUAUACAAAUAUAUAUAUUUACUAGAGGACCCGCCUACGUUUUACUGUGGCUGAUACAUAGGCUACAUGGCUGAUACAUAAGUAUUAGUUAAAGAAUAAUCGCAUUUUUGAUGAAGCAAAAAAAAUGAAUCAAAAAGCAUUUCGUGUGUUAAGAAAGAAUUGGUUUUUGCGGUAAAAAUACUAUUGAAUUUGGGCUGUGCAUCAGUGAAAUCCAUCGAGUCCAAUCGAUUGUCAGCCUGGUGGACUGCAUAUUAAGAAACGGUUCUCAAGCGUGGAAAGACAAAAAAAUCGACUGGCAAGGUUAUGGCAUCAGUCUUUUGGGAUGCCCGUGGUAUAUUAUUCAUCGAAUGAUAAAUGAGCCAGUUUUAAUUCAUUGCAUUGUGUACUUGAUUUCAGUUCUAUUCUACCAUUCCCAAUAUUUAGCAAUUUUAUUAUUUUUCAGAAAGGAUCAGUUUGAAAUUGUACGCAUGUAUGCAUGUAUACGUCGUUCCCGUUUAAAUAUUGUAUUGCUCUGUGCAAUGCUUCGAAAAUAUUUCUGUAUAUCUCAAAUUUUUUAUCAACACUUCAGUUAUGCCACUAUUUUUUUAUGCCAGACCUUUUGCAAUUUUAAAUUGCCUGUCAAGAUACCCCCUCCAAUAGUUAGCAGGUAUGAAAAAAAUGUUAUAGCUACCCAUAGAUGUAUUGAAUCACCCAAUUUAUUACUUAAGAACGAACUCUGUCCUCAAUAUAAAAACUUGAUCCACAGAUGUCGCCUUUUACUUUGGCAUCGUUUUGUUUAAUGUACGUUUACGCCAAUUUAAGGUUUGAAUAUUGGAUACUGCGAUGGUAGCGCCAUCUAUCGGUCAAACAUUCCAAAAUUAACAAUUGAUUAAAAAUGAAAAAAUAAUUUAAAAAAACAUUUUCCAGUGGAUCAAAUUGUAAAUCUAUACCAUUCUCGAACCUCCUUGAACAUACACACAAAAUUUCAUCAAAAUCGGUACAUUCGUUUAGGAGCAGUUCAAAUGCAAACACACGGUCAGAAGAUUUAUAUAUAUGAAGAUAUUCAUUAGGAUGCUCCUAAAAAAAAUUUGAUUUUUUUUCAACUUUUACCCCCUUUUUUUAGUGUCCUAUUCAUUUAACAUAUCGCGACAAAAUUAUUAUUCUCAGAAACGUUUUUUUAUUUUUAUUGAAAAAAUUCCAAAUUUCCAAUCACUAUGUUUAAUUGUCGUUGCCGUUGGAAGGACCAAGUGGAGAAGGACCUGGCUUCGCUUGGAAUAUCCAAUUGGCGCCACGUAGCGAAAAGAAGAAACGACUGGCGCGCGGUUGUUAACUCGGCUAUAAUCGCGUAAGCGGUGUCUACGCCAAUUAAGAAGAAGAUGUUUAAUUGUCUAAUUGAGAUAAUCAAACUUUGUCGCGGGAUUUUUUAAAUUUUUAAUAUGUAAUGGUUAUUUUUGAGAAAUAAAAAUUAAUUGGUGAAAUUUUAGUUUGAUUGAAAAACGAAAAUUCCUAUGUUAAGUAAAAAGGAAACUAAAAAAAAAUGAAGCGACCCUUUAGAGUUAAGCUACAGCGCCUGGCUUGAGGGAGGAUUCUUUUCGUCAAUCACUAAAAUUUGAGGGGGUAAGAGUCGAAAAAAAUUCAAAUUUUUUUUUUGAAACACCCUAAUAUACAUAUAUUUCAAUUGAAAUAAAUAUCUUGUUUAUUUCACAGUGUUUUAACCAUUGGAAACCCCAGAUUCCGAGUUGGAAGAGCUGGCAAUGGAAGCGUUAGGGAGGACCGUGGUUGAUGGACUGCCUGAUGUCCCAACUAUAGGAGUAGAGGUAUGAUUAAAUAAAAUCUUUGCGUAUAUGUUUAUAUACAAUUUUUUUUAAGUAAAUAAAAUGGAAUUAUAGUUUCUUUUUACGUUUCGAACGACAUUAUAAUCCAUAUACAGUAGAGGCCCGCUAACCCGGAUCAAUUAAAACCGGCCCCUAUCCGGAAUAUAAAGGAAUCCGGGCCAGCGCGAUAUUUUUUUCCCUAGUAUAGGUUGACAGCUGCAACCAACUGUCAUCGGCUCGUCUCAUACUAAGCUCAGUUUCUAUAUAGCACUCGAGCUGUGAACAUGUGUUAUAACCUCUCUGCGACAACAAAAAGAAAUUCGACACUCCGAAAGUUUUUUUUCAACUCUGUGUACAGUUGAUUUUUUUCACAUUUUCCAAUAAAUUCAUCCAGGUAAAUAUGUUUAUAAUAUUAGUUGAGCCUUUAGCCUUCGACACACAGAAUUUACAUUGUGUUCAUUAUCCACCGCCAUUUUGCAAAUAUGAGCGUUUGGGGAAUCUUGGGAAUCUCUUAUUACGGGGAAUGUCGGGCCACAUAGUUUUUUACAUUUGACAUGCUAACUUCAUAUAUUUGACGUGUAUAAGUGAUUUUUCGUGCAGAAUUUCAACAACACAAUAGUUUUUCAACAUUUCCUCAUAGUUUCGUGCUCCGAAAAAUUUUUUUUAGUCAUUAUGCCGCGGUACUACCCCAAACAAGAGAAAAUUGUUGAUUUCGACAACAUUUUGGAGGCGAUCAAGUCGGUGAAAAUACAUCACAACAGCGUUCGACAAUCUGCGACGGCACACAAAAUUCCGAUGCGUUAUAUUGCAGCAUUUGAUGGUUCGACGUUACUACUGCCAAUGCCGAUGUAAUGAAGAAUUUGCUGGCUGAAAGCACGACGAUGGGCACAAAAACAAUCUUCAACAUCGAACAAGAGAAGGCGCUCAUAAGCUACAUUCUCCAGGCCAGCGACAUCAAAUAUGGAAUUAGUUCGGAAAGUUUUCGCGUCGUAUCCGGAUCCAUGGAACGACAAUCAACAGGCGAGUAAGGAUUGGCAGUUGGCGUUCAUGAAACGCCACAAAAAUUUGUCACUGCGAACACCAGAGCAAGUAAGCCAGAGCCGUGCGAAGCGAUUCAACAAAGAGAAUGUCGAUGCAUUCUUUGCCAACCUUUCAUCCGUUCUUGGUAAGACGCCGUUUGAAUCUCACCGAAUAUGGAACUUGGAUGAAACCGGGUGCCCGACCGUGCCAACCAGACCUGUCAAAACCAUCGCGCGCAAAGGACAAAAGCAGGUCGGCUCAUCAACAUCUGCCGAAAAAGACACCAAUGUGUCUUUGGCUUUGGCCGUCAGCGCUAGUGGCCAGUCUAUACCGCCAUUCUUCCUCUUUCCCCGAAUCAACAUGAAAGAGAUUUUUAUGACUCAUGCGAGUCAUGGCGCUGUUGGUGUUGCGAACGGUUCUGGUUACAUGAACUCUGACGUAUUCUCUCAAUUCAUGCAUCAUUUCAUUAAGCACACCGGUGCUAAUGCCGAUUCGCCAACCAUGUUGCUGCUGGACAACCACGGUUCGCAUUUAUCGAUCGAGGCGAUAGAUUUGGCGUUGGAUCAUGGCAUCACGUUGCUGUCUUUUCCGCCGAAAUGCACGCACAAAAUGCAGCCGCUAGAUGUUGCGGUAUUUGCACCAUUUAAAGGCAUGAUGACCGUGAAGCAUGAUGCAUGGAAAAAGUCCAACAUUGGUGUCACUUUCGAUCUGCAUCAUGUGACGCUCCUUGUCGAUCAGUGCCUCGAUGUUAUGUUAACGCCGAAAACCAUCAAAUCCGGCUUCCGAACAACUGGCAUCUACCCGUUCAACCCGCAAAUUUUCACUGAAGUUGACUUUGUCGCUUCGGAACUGAGCGGCGAAAAUUUGUUCGGUGACGAAGAGAAAGACGCCGACAAUCAACGUCGAGUUCUUGCCUCUGGUGAUGCCAUUGUGACUGCUGCGAAUCAGGAGGUGUCAACGUCGGAGGCAUCGACAAGUGCCCCAGCUUCAACAAGUGGUGCUGCAUCAUCGUCGUUGUCUCUUGUUUCGGCUCCACAGCUCCGUGAUGCACUGAAAUCGGUUGGCCCGUUGAAAUUGGGCACACCUGCGCCGAAAUCAAAACGUGGCCGCAAGACAAUGGAGUCAACGAUUUUGACAUCGCCUGAGGUUGUCGCAGAUCUGCGAGACGAGGCCGAAAAAAAGCGGCAAAAAUUGACGAAGGCAGCCGAUGAACCAGCAGCCAAGAAGGCCGUGGCAAAUCGAAGACGCCACGGAAGAGAAGCCCGUCUCCGACCGAAACCGACAUCGAAGAGGACUUCGAUUUUUGCACGAUUUGCAAGAAAAAGAUGCCGAAGCACGAGAAUCGUCAAAACACGGUCCAUUGCAUAGUUUGUGAUCGAGGGGUUCACUUGAAAUGUGCCGGACCGAACCCGAACACUUACACCUGCAUCCACUGCGAGUCGGAAUAAUUUUUUUCGCCAAUUCCUAUUUUUCUUAUUAUUUAUGAAUCUCUCUUUCAUUUUCAUUGAUAAAUAAACGUUUUUCAUCGGUAGCAAUCAUGUUUUAAUCGAUUUACAGACUGGCCCGACAUUCCCCACCUUUUUUCAAAUCGCAAAAUCAGGUUUUUUGCGCCAAUGGCUAUAACUUUUAAAUUUUUGUAGAAUUUUAUCAAACCAAUGUUAUCAAAAGGAAGGUUACGACUCGCACUACAAAUCCAUGCUUUGGAAUUUUCACAAAAAAUAACCGAAAUCAAAACGUGGCCCAACAUUCCCCACCUUCCC